UGUGAGCUCGAUGAGUAGGGCGGGACACGUGGUAUCCUGUCUGAAUAUGGGGGGACCAUCCUCCAAGGCUAAAUACUCCUGACUGACCGAUAGUGAACCAGUACCGUGAGGGAAAGGCGAAAAGAACCCCGGCGAGGGGAGUGAAAAAGAACCUGAAACCGUGUACGUACAAGCAGUGGGAGCACGCUUAGGCGUGUGACUGCGUACCUUUUGUAUAAUGGGUCAGCGACUUAUAUUCUGUAGCAAGGUUAACCGAAUAGGGGAGCCGAAGGGAAACCGAGUCUUAACUGGGCGUUAAGUUGCAGGGUAUAGACCCGAAACCCGGUGAUCUAGCCAUGGGCAGGUUGAAGGUUGGGUAACACUAACUGGAGGACCGAACCGACUAAUGUUGAAAAAUUAGCGGAUGACUUGUGGCUGGGGGUGAAAGGCCAAUCAAACCGGGAGAUAGCUGGUUCUCCCCGAAAGCUAUUUAGGUAGCGCCUCGUGAAUUCAUCUCCGGGGGUAGAGCACUGUUUCGGCAAGGGGGUCAUCCCGACUUACCAACCCGAUGCAAACUGCGAAUACCGGAGAAUGUUAUCACGGGAGACACACGGCGGGUGCUAACGUCCGUCGUGAAGAGGGAAACAACCCAGACCGCCAGCUAAGGUCCCAAAGUCAUGGUUAAGUGGGAAACGAUGUGGGAAGGCCCAGACAGCCAGGAUGUUGGCUUAGAAGCAGCCAUCAUUUAAAGAAAGCGUAAUAGCUCACUGGUCGAGUCGGCCUGCGCGGAAGAUGUAACGGGGCUAAACCAUGCACCGAAGCUGCGGCAGCGACGCUUAUGCGUUGUUGGGUAGGGGAGCGUUCUGUAAGCCUGUGAAGGUGUGCUGUGAGGCAUGCUGGAGGUAUCAGAAGUGCGAAUGCUGACAUAAGUAACGAUAAAGCGGGUGAAAAGCCCGCUCGCCGGAAGACCAAGGGUUCCUGUCCAACGUUAAUCGGGGCAGGGUGAGUCGACCCCUAAGGCGAGGCCGAAAGGCGUAGUCGAUGGGAAACAGGUUAAUAUUCCUGUACUUGGUGUUACUGCGAAGGGGGGACGGAGAAGGCUAUGUUGGCCGGGCGACGGUUGUCCCGGUUUAAGCGUGUAGGCUGGUUUUCCAGGCAAAUCCGGAAAAUCAAGGCUGAGGCGUGAUGACGAGGCACUACGGUGCUGAAGCAACAAAUGCCCUGCUUCCAGGAAAAGCCUCUAAGCAUCAGGUAACAUCAAAUCGUACCCCAAACCGACACAGGUGGUCAGGUAGAGAAUACCAAGGCGCUUGAGAGAACUCGGGUGAAGGAACUAGGCAAAAUGGUGCCGUAACUUCGGGAGAAGGCACGCUGAUAUGUAGGUGAAGUCCCUUGCGGAUGGAGCUGAAAUCAGUCGAAGAUACCAGCUGGCUGCAACUGUUUAUUAAAAACACAGCACUGUGCAAACACGAAAGUGGACGUAUACGGUGUGACGCCUGCCCGGUGCCGGAAGGUUAAUUGAUGGGGUCAGCGCAAGCGAAGCUCUUGAUCGAAGCCCCGGUAAACGGCGGCCGUAACUAUAACGGUCCUAAGGUAGCGAAAUUCCUUGUCGGGUAAGUUCCGACCUGCACGAAUGGCGUAAUGAUGGCCAGGCUGUCUCCACCCGAGACUCAGUGAAAUUGAACUCGCUGUGAAGAUGCAGUGUACCCGCGGCAAGACGGAAAGACCCCGUGAACCUUUACUAUAGCUUGACACUGAACAUUGAGCCUUGAUGUGUAGGAUAGGUGGGAGGCUUUGAAGUGUGGACGCCAGUCUGCAUGGAGCCGACCUUGAAAUACCACCCUUUAAUGUUUGAUGUUCUAACGUUGACCCCUAAUCGGGGUUGCGGACAGUGUCUGGUGGGUAGUUUGACUGGGGCGGUCUCCUCCUAAAGAGUAACGGAGGAGCACGAAGGUUGGCUAAUCCUGGUCGGACAUCAGGAGGUUAGUGCAAUGGCAUAAGCCAGCUUGACUGCGAGCGUGACGGCGCGAGCAGGUGCGAAAGCAGGUCAUAGUGAUCCGGUGGUUCUGAAUGGAAGGGCCAUCGCUCAACGGAUAAAAGGUACUCCGGGGAUAACAGGCUGAUACCGCCCAAGAGUUCAUAUCGACGGCGGUGUUUGGCACCUCGAUGUCGGCUCAUCACAUCCUGGGGCUGAAGUAGGUCCCAAGGGUAUGGCUGUUCGCCAUUUAAAGUGGUACGCGAGCUGGGUUUAGAACGUCGUGAGACAGUUCGGUCCCUAUCUGCCGUGGGCGCUGGAGAACUGAGGGGGGCUGCUCCUAGUACGAGAGGACCGGAGUGGACGCAUCACUGGUGUUCGGGUUGUCAUGCCAAUGGCACUGCCCGGUAGCUAAAUGCGGAAGAGAUAAGUGCUGAAAGCAUCUAAGCACGAAACUUGCCCCGAGAUGAGUUCUCCCUGACCCUUUAAGGGUCCUGAAGGAACGUUGAAGACGACGACGUUGAUAGGCCGGGUGUGUAAGCGCAGCGAUGCGUUGAGCUAACCGGUACUAAUGAACCGUGAGGCUUAACCUU
Molecule: ribosomal RNA, 2547 nt
Filed under: Escherichia coli
Lineage: Bacteria; Pseudomonadati; Pseudomonadota; Gammaproteobacteria; Enterobacterales; Enterobacteriaceae
Description: partial 23S ribosomal RNA
Rfam family: Bacterial large subunit ribosomal RNA
Source: RNAcentral